GGUCCCUAUCUGCCGUGGACGUUUGAGAUUUGAGAGGGGCUGCUCCUAGUACGAGAGGACCGGAGUGGACGAACCUCUGGUGUUCCGGGUGUCACGCCAGUGGCAUUGCCGGGUAGCUAUGUUCGGAAAAGAUAACCGCUGAAAGCAUCUAAGCGGGAAACUUGCCUCAAGAUGAGAUCUCACUGGAACCUUGAGUUCCCUGAAGGG
Molecule: ribosomal RNA, 207 nt
Filed under: Pseudomonas avellanae
Lineage: Bacteria; Pseudomonadati; Pseudomonadota; Gammaproteobacteria; Pseudomonadales; Pseudomonadaceae
Description: partial 23S ribosomal RNA
Rfam family: Bacterial large subunit ribosomal RNA
Source: RNAcentral